RNAcentral lists this ribosomal RNA (897 nucleotides) under Arthrobacter sp. 71755-122. Its description in RNAcentral is "bacterial SSU rRNA". It matches the Rfam family "Bacterial small subunit ribosomal RNA", at positions 88 to 997 of the family's 1533-position model. Lineage: Bacteria; Bacillati; Actinomycetota; Actinomycetes; Micrococcales; Micrococcaceae. The record is from RNAcentral.
UGGAUUAGUGGNGAACGGGUGAGUAACACGUGAGUAACCUGCCCCUGACUCUGGGAUAAGCCCGGGAAACUGGGUCUAAUANCGGAUAUGACCAUGGGACGCAUGUCUUGUGGUGGAAAGAUUUAUCGGUUGGGGAUGGACUCGCGGCCUAUCAGCUUGUUGGUGAGGUAAUGGCUCACCAAGGCGACGACGGGUAGCCGGCCUGAGAGGGUGACCGGCCACACUGGGACUGAGACACGGCCCANACUCCUACGGGAGGCAGCAGUGGGGAAUAUUGCACAAUGGGCGCAAGCCUGAUGCAGCGACGCCGCGUGAGGGAUGACGGCCUUCGGGUUGUAAACCUCUUUCAGUAGGGAAGAAGCGAGAGUGACGGUACCUGCAGAAGAAGCGCCGGCUAACUACGUGCCAGCAGCCGCGGUAAUACGUAGGGCGCAAGCGUUAUCCGGAUUUAUUGGGCGUAAAGAGCUCGUAGNNNGUUUGUCGCGUCUGCCGUGAAAGUCCGAGGCUCAACCUCGGAUCUGCGGUGGGUACGGGCAGACUAGAGUGAUGUAGGGGAGACUGGAAUUCCUGGUGUAGCGGUGAAAUGCGCAGAUNUCAGGAGGAACACCGAUGGNGAAGGCAGGUCUCUGGGCGUUUACUGACGCUGAGGAGCGAAAGCUUGGGGAGCGAACAGGAUUAGAUACCCUGGUAGUCCAUGCCGUAAACGUUGGGCACUAGGUGUGGGGGACAUUCCACCGUUUCCGCGCCGUAGCUAACGCAUUAAGUGCCCCGCCUGGGGAGUACGGCCGCAAGGCUAAAACUCAAAGGAAUUAANGGGGGCCCGCACAAGCAGCGNAGCAUGCNGUUUAAUUCGAUGCAACGCNAAGAACCUUACCNANGCUUGACAUGUUCCAGACC